This 517-nucleotide ribosomal RNA is filed under the name vouchered mycorrhizae (Glomus). RNAcentral describes it as "SSU rRNA". It matches the Rfam family "Eukaryotic small subunit ribosomal RNA", at positions 558 to 1078 of the family's 1831-position model. Lineage: Eukaryota; Fungi; Glomeromycota; Glomeromycetes; Glomerales; Glomeraceae. The record is from RNAcentral.
AGCUGGUGCCAGCAGCCGCGGUAAUUCCAGCUCCAAUAGCGUAUAUUAAAGUUGUUGCAGUUAAAAAGCUCGUAGUUGAAUUUCGGGAUCAAUAUGUUGGUCGUGCCUUGGUACGUACUGGCGUCAUUGGUUUCUACCUUCUGAAGAACCUCGAUGUUAUUAAUUUGGUGUCUUGGGGAAUCAGGACUGUUACUUUGAAAAAAUUAGAGUGUUUAAAGCAANGCUAACGCUUGAAUACAUUAGCAUGGAAUAAUGAAAUAGGACGUUCGAUCCUAUUUUGUUGGUUUCUAGGAUUGACGUAAUGAUUAAUAGGGAUAGUUGGGGGCAUUAGUAUUCAAUUGUCAGAGGUGAAAUUCUUGGAUUUAUUGAAGACUAACUACUGCGAAAGCAUUUGCCAAGGAUGUUUUCAUUAAUCAAGAGCGAAAGUUAGGGGAUCGAAGACGAUCAGAUACCGUCGUAGUCUUAACCAUAAACUAUGCCGACUAGGGAUCGGAUGAUGUUAAUUUUUAAUGACUCA